Molecule: transfer RNA, 542 nt
Filed under: uncultured Prochlorococcus sp.
Lineage: Bacteria; Bacillati; Cyanobacteriota; Cyanophyceae; Synechococcales; Prochlorococcaceae
Description: 16S-23S ribosomal RNA intergenic spacer
Rfam family: tRNA (bases 212-284)
Source: RNAcentral
CAGGGAGACAACAAAAUGUUUAAUAUUAUUAUUUUGUCACCUUAGGUCGAUCGGUAUCUCACGUUUUUAAUUUAUUAAGAAUUUCAUUUCCUAAGUUUUUCUAGGUCACACCCAUUAUUUUUCCUGGGCCAUUAGCUCAGGUGGUUAGAGCGCACCCCUGAUAAGGGUGAGGUCCCUGGUUCAAGUCCAGGAUGGCCCAUAUCUCUAUGUUGGGGGUAUAGCUCAGUUGGUAGAGCGCCUGCUUUGCAAGCAGGAUGUCAGCGGUUCGAGUCCGCUUACCUCCACUGAUCACCACCUCUUCCAUAAUCGGUAGAAAGGAAAUUUUUUGAGUUGUGAUCAAAUUCUGAAAGAAUCUAGCUUCCUAAUGAAAUCAUUAAGAUGCUGGACUCAUUGAAUUAAUUUCAUUGUUUUCAGAGAACCUUGACAACUGCAUAGAUUAUUUUUAAAGACAAUAAGCAUCUUUAAUGAUGCAGAUUUAUUAUUUGUGCAAAUGCAUUAAUAACAAUUCUAUUAAGCUGAUGCUUCAAUUUUUGAAGUUAUUG